UGUUUUUAAAUGUCAACUUGCCAUAGAAAGUCAAAGAAUGAUUGGAUAUCUUCCAUCAUUACUCGAUCGUCAACUUGGCAUGAAAGCAGCUGCGGUCCAGACGCCAGCCGGAAGGACGGGGAAAUAAUUUUGGAUAGCAUGUAGCCACCGAUCACCUACUUUGAUCACUAAAAUGAUUUCUCCGGACACGUUCAUGUCAUGUCGUGUUGGAAACGUAAACGACGACUAUGUCAGGAAGAUGUAGAAUUGCAAUGGAUAUACACGGGAAUACGUUACCAGAAGGAUAGACUUAGACAGAUCAACCUGCAUCGUUCUCUUAUCCGAUCAAUGAUGAAAUGGGAAAUCUGUGGGUUAGCAAUCAACAAAUAAAUAAUAAUAAUAAUAAUAAUAAUAUUAUUAUUAUUAUUAUUAUUAUUAUUUAAGUCUCUGGCAGUUACUCGCAUAACAAAUUUUGCUCCUACUUUUAGGGUUUUUGUGGUCUGUAAAACCCCCGCUGCCGGCCUUUUCCCGUCUCUUCCUCUCGCCGUGGCCGCUGUCGCCGCUAGGUCCGUCCUCUGGUCGGCGUCGCUCCAGGGUGGGGCGCCGCCCAAGCCGUUGCGGCCUCGCGCCUGCCCUCCGCUUCUCUGCCUCCCUAAACCGAGGCCCGCUCCCGCCGCUCGUUUCCUCAGGUCUCCCGUGGAGGCGAGCUUCUGCGUGGAGUCGCUCAUGCCGAUGCGACGGCCUCGGCUCUGAUGACCUCGAUCCUCAAUGUUUCGCUCGGGGGAUACGGGUGGCUGUCCCAAGGUAUCGUCCUCCGCUUCUUGCUUCUUUGAGCAUUUUAUUGAGUGGAUCGUGUGCGGCUGUUUAAAUCGAUUCUAUUUCUUGCCCUUGAGUUGGUUGCUAUGGUGGCUUACUGUAUGUCCAAUUAAAUCAUGUUACGUAGUUUCAGAUUCUCCUAGACAUCAAUCAUUUUAUGUAUGCCAAUGGUCAGAUGAGGGUUGGAUGGUUAUUGAGUUCUUGACUCAUCAAUCAUUUUAGACAGCAUAUUAUAGGAAGACAAGAGACAUAUAAAUAUUAGCUACAGUGUCAGAGGAAUCUGAUGCUGUGUUCUUGGAAGCCUCGAGUGAACCAAGAAGAGGCAAUGGACAGAUAUCAACAAUUUUCCUUCAAGUGCCCAUUUAGACAUGCAGAGAUGUGGACGAUUGCUACUAGGUUAGGGCAAGAAGUAAUGCAUCUCCAUUUGUUUAUUAUUGCGCAAUCCUUUAUUCUAAUCGUCUCCCUCUUUACCUCCUGCCGAACAUAAUUCCUGGAAUUAUGCCCUGCUCUGUGACUUGCACAAAAUGCAAAUUACUCCAAAGCUCUGCGUAAGGCCUGCUGCAUUUUUCUAUUCUACCUUGUUCUCUCUGUCACUGAACAGCACAUUCACUUGUGUACCUUCUGCUUUAACCUAUAAGCCUUCAACUUGUAAUCCUCAUUUUUCUUCCAAUGUAUAAAGCAUAAACUAAUCCUAAUGAAGGAAAGAGAGACUAUAUAUUGGAAUUUGUCUUGUUUUAUGUUUGUUGAAUCGAUGUGCUUCUCGAAGUGGCAGUGGAAGUAGCUUAACUAAUUGUGGUGAAUGUACUAGGAGUAGCUUAAGUAAUUGUGUAAUUAGUUGUUGGAGGCCCUCUGUUUUUAUGAAGUUGCUCUUGGCAUUUUUUUUUUAUCUACAUGCGUGAAAAUAGUAUGGUUAUUUGUGUGGGAUUAGGUUUAGAACAUUAAAAAUUUCAUUACAGUGAAGUCCUUUCCCUUUUGAGGCCCAUCCUGUAGUUUGUUUUAGGUCAGACAGUUUGCGUUGGAAACAACUCUAGUUGUCACCAACAGUAAGCUACCCUAAUGUGUCGAUAGAAAUCAUUCUUGGUUGUCCUAUAAGUUCGUACUUGUUUUAAACACAAUUGUUUUUACAUAUGCUGUUCUUCUUUUUUUAUUUUUGAUGCAAGAACACAUCUUUUUUCUCUUUUGCCUUUUUAUAUCACAUUGUAUGUGAUAUAAAUUCUUUAUAAACCUUCAAAAUUGUUUAUUGUUUAUGCACAAAUAUUUCAGGACCUUUUUGUGUUUCACCAGUUCUUGCUCUCUUUUCCUUGACACAAUUAGUGGAACCAAGAAACCUUCUCCCCUAAAUACAAUUUAUUACUAUUUAUUUACCACUGGCUGGUCUUGACUUGACUAGCUUUUUGUAAAAGAUCGAGAUGCUAUCAAAAUCAGAGGAAAAAAUGACAUUAUUGAAACUGGAAGCCUAGGCCAAAAAACAUGUUUGCUGUUCAUAUUUCGGUAGAAUUUCCCAUCUUAAUUUUUUUUCUUAUUCAAUACGUUGCCAAAUGAAGAGAUGUACUGAUAUAUUGUCUUUAAGUCGGCUGGCAAUGAGGAUGUAUGAUGAUGGUAUAUCAGGUGGAUUCAGCCAGAUGCAUAGACAAAGACACUUGAUAUAUUAUCCUCGUUCAUGCUCCCUUGAUUUGUUGAAGCUUUAUGGGGCCUUUUUCUAGGAUCGGCUGGGUGCACAUAGGAAAGGGGAAAUGUCAUGACAUGUUCUGCUAAUAUUAUAAAUUUGCUUGUGUCACUCUGGUUUGUUAGCUGAUAUAUAUGUUUCAAUAAUUUUAAGUUUGCAAAAGGUUUUAUUAUUUCUCCUCUCAUAUGUCGGAAAAUGGAUUUGCCAAGCCAAUGUGAAGACGUGGUUUGCUUGACUUUUUCAACUUCAUUUGAUAUACCAUAGAUUUCAUGAUGUGUUUAUGUCAACGUUUGAAUUACACGUGUAUGUGUUAACGUGAAGACUUGGUUUGCUCAAACUUUUUCUUAA
Long non-coding RNA from Musa acuminata AAA Group (dessert banana), 2809 nucleotides. RefSeq lists it as uncharacterized. NCBI's taxonomy places the organism in Eukaryota, Viridiplantae, Streptophyta, Magnoliopsida, Zingiberales, Musaceae. The record is from RefSeq and is a predicted model, not a curated record. The transcript has 2 exons.